GUCAUACGUAUACACCCGUGGCACACGUACAGUGGGCCAUACGUAUACACCUCUAGAACACAGGUAUAGCUGGCUGUACGUAUACACCUGCAAAUCACAGGUAUAGCUGGCUAUAUGUAUACACCCGAAGAACACAGGUAUAGCUGGCCAUACAUAUACACCCACAGCACACGUACAACAGGCCAUAUGUAUACACCCGCAGAAAACGUGUACAGCCGGCCAUUCGCAUACAUCCAUAAAACACAGAUACAGCUGACCAUACAUAUACACCCGCAGCACACGUACAGUGGGCCAUACGUAUACACCCGCAGAACACAGGUACAGCUGGACAUACGUAUACACCCGCAGAACACAGGUACAGCUGGACAUACGUAUACACCCGCAGAACACAGGUAUAGCUGGCCGUACGUAUACAUCUGUAGAACACGGGUAUAGUUGGCCGUGCGUAUACACCCGCAGAACACACCUGUAGAUCACGGGUAUAGCUGGCUAUACGUAUAAAACUGCAGAACACAGGUAUAGCUGGCCAUACAUAUACAUCUGCACUGCAGAACACAGGUAUAGCUGGCCAUACGUAUACACCCGCACAGGUAUAGCUGGCCGCACGUAUACACCCGCAGAACACGUGUACAGCUUGUCAUACGUAUACACCCAAAGAACACAGGUAAAGCUGGCCAUAUGUAUACACCUGCAGAACAUAGAUAUAGCUGGCCGCAUGUAUACACUGUGCACAUGUAGCACAUGCCACAGCCUCACUUUAUAUCUAAGUAAUGUAAAAGCAAUUAAAAUAUGUCAUGGUUACCAGUGUACUGUGAUGUGCUUAAGCAGUGUGUUAUUAGUGAUAUGUAUUAUGAUUAAUUUGAUCUAAAAUAAAUAUUCUAUUCAUGAUAUAAUAGAAUAACCUACAAAACCCUACAUUUACUGUUGCCAAACUAUUUAUAUUCAUCAUUUUAAUUAUAUCAUUUGCUUUCAGAAAUGUACCUGCAGUGUUUGUCAUGAAUGCCUUAAUUUGUUUUAUACAAGCUGCUUAUAAUUUAUUUAACAAAUUAAUACAUAAGCAGGUUUUUGUCUGGUAGGAUAACCGUUAUAAUUCCGUGUAAUUUCCCUUUGUAAUAUAUGAAACUCUUUAUUCCCAGUACAUCUGGUUUGUAAAACCUUCUUUUAACAUGUAGUAACAGCAUUUAGCAGCAGCAUACAACUAUGUGGGAAUGCCUGGCUAAAAUUUCUGUUAAAAUAUAUUUAUUGAUGCAUUGUUCUUUGCAUGACUGCUUAAAAUAUUGUUUACUGUUAUGUAGGUAAACAAACAUACAAAUAAACACUAUAGACUAUGAUUAUCUAAUAGAGGUUGUGUCCAUUUAUUGUAAUUAUCGUUACUGGCCCAAUCAAUUCUUUUACUUACAAGUAAAAUGUUCCCUGUUCCAUUGGCUGCAACCAAAGCCCAUAAUAGGAUCAAUCCACCCCAUACUUACCAGGUGUACUUUUUAAUACACUAAUCUUGUUAGUAAUGUUAAAAAUGUAUUUUUAAUGUUUAUCCUUGUGCUUUUUUGGAGUCAUUUACCCUUUACUCGUUACUAAUUACAGUAAGAGAAAAUUUAAAGGGUGCCCAACUUAAAUGUGAUUUGUGCUAUUGAAUUUAACCAGCAUAACCUAGCAUAAUAAUCAUAUAAUUGAAACAAUACUGUUAAUAUGUUGGAUCUCACAUAUGGGUCUGAAUGUGUGCACACUGACAUCCUGUGCCACUGAUCACUCCGAUUUGUUGUGGUAUGUACGCACAUACAUGCUUAAUAUAUACAUUAUUUAACCAUAUUACAUGCUGUUUAUAUAAAGUGUGAUGUUUGUGGAAGUUUAAAAUGCUGAUGAAUUAUCACCAUUGAUUUUACAGUAUGUGUAAUUUAAUAAUGUACUGAACUGAUUUGAAUUGAAUUUAAAUAGAUUAAAAAUAGAUA
Molecule: long non-coding RNA, 1946 nt
Organism: Astyanax mexicanus (Mexican tetra)
Lineage: Eukaryota; Metazoa; Chordata; Actinopteri; Characiformes; Acestrorhamphidae
Exons: 4
Source: RefSeq, a predicted model, not a curated record